RNAcentral lists this ribosomal RNA (2889 nucleotides) under Klebsiella quasipneumoniae. The record is from RNAcentral. Lineage: Bacteria; Pseudomonadati; Pseudomonadota; Gammaproteobacteria; Enterobacterales; Enterobacteriaceae.
ACUAAGCGUACACGGUGGAUGCCCUGGCAGUCAGAGGCGAUGAAGGACGUGCUAAUCUGCGAAAAGCGUCGGUAAGGUGAUAUGAACCGUUAUAACCGGCGAUGUCCGAAUGGGGAAACCCAGUGCAAUUCGUUGCACUAUCGUUAACUGAAUACAUAGGUUAACGAGGCGAACCGGGGGAACUGAAACAUCUAAGUACCCCGAGGAAAAGAAAUCAACCGAGAUUCCCCCAGUAGCGGCGAGCGAACGGGGAGCAGCCCAGAGUCUGAAUCAGCUUGUGUGUUAGUGGAACGGUCUGGAAAGUCCGACGGUACAGGGUGAUAGUCCCGUACACCAAAAUGCACAGGCUGUGAACUCGAAGAGUAGGGCGGGACACGUGGUAUCCUGUCUGAAUAUGGGGGGACCAUCCUCCAAGGCUAAAUACUCCUGACUGACCGAUAGUGAACCAGUACCGUGAGGGAAAGGCGAAAAGAACCCCGGCGAGGGGAGUGAAAAAGAACCUGAAACCGUGUACGUACAAGCAGUGGGAGCACCUUCGGGUGUGACUGCGUACCUUUUGUAUAAUGGGUCAGCGACUUAUAUUCUGUAGCAAGGUUAACCGUAUAGGGGAGCCGCAGGGAAACCGAGUCUUAACUGGGCGUUAAGUUGCAGGGUAUAGACCCGAAACCCGGUGAUCUAGCCAUGGGCAGGUUGAAGGUUGGGUAACACUAACUGGAGGACCGAACCGACUAAUGUUGAAAAAUUAGCGGAUGACUUGUGGCUGGGGGUGAAAGGCCAAUCAAACCGGGAGAUAGCUGGUUCUCCCCGAAAGCUAUUUAGGUAGCGCCUCGUGAACUCAUCUUCGGGGGUAGAGCACUGUUUCGGCUAGGGGGUCAUCCCGACUUACCAACCCGAUGCAAACUACGAAUACCGAAGAAUGUUAUCACGGGAGACACACGGCGGGUGCUAACGUCCGUCGUGAAGAGGGAAACAACCCAGACCGCCAGCUAAGGUCCCAAAGUCAUGGUUAAGUGGGAAACGAUGUGGGAAGGCACAGACAGCCAGGAUGUUGGCUUAGAAGCAGCCAUCAUUUAAAGAAAGCGUAAUAGCUCACUGGUCGAGUCGGCCUGCGCGGAAGAUGUAACGGGGCUAAACCAUGCACCGAAGCUGCGGCAGCGACACUAUGUGUUGUUGGGUAGGGGAGCGUUCUGUAAGCCUGCGAAGGUGGCCUGUGAGGGUUGCUGGAGGUAUCAGAAGUGCGAAUGCUGACAUAAGUAACGAUAAAGCGGGUGAAAAGCCCGCUCGCCGGAAGACCAAGGGUUCCUGUCCAACGUUAAUCGGGGCAGGGUGAGUCGACCCCUAAGGCGAGGCCGAAAGGCGUAGUCGAUGGGAAACAGGUUAAUAUUCCUGUACUUGGUGUUACUGCGAAGGGGGGACGGAGAAGGCUAUGUUAGCCGGGCGACGGUUGUCCCGGUUUAAGCAUGUAGGCUGAUUAUCCAGGCAAAUCCGGAUAAUCAAGGCUGAGGUGUGAUGACGAGGCACUACGGUGCUGAAGUAACAAAUGCCCUGCUUCCAGGAAAAGCCUCUAAGCAUCAGGUAACAUCAAAUCGUACCCCAAACCGACACAGGUGGUCAGGUAGAGAAUACCAAGGCGCUUGAGAGAACUCGGGUGAAGGAACUAGGCAAAAUGGUGCCGUAACUUCGGGAGAAGGCACGCUGGUGUGUAGGUGAAGUCCCUGCGGAUGGAGCUGAGACCAGUCGAAGAUACCAGCUGGCUGCAACUGUUUAUUAAAAACACAGCACUGUGCAAACACGAAAGUGGACGUAUACGGUGUGACGCCUGCCCGGUGCCGGAAGGUUAAUUGAUGGGGUUAUCCGUAAGGAGAAGCUCUUGAUCGAAGCCCCGGUAAACGGCGGCCGUAACUAUAACGGUCCUAAGGUAGCGAAAUUCCUUGUCGGGUAAGUUCCGACCUGCACGAAUGGCGUAAUGAUGGCCAGGCUGUCUCCACCCGAGACUCAGUGAAAUUGAACUCGCUGUGAAGAUGCAGUGUACCCGCGGCAAGACGGAAAGACCCCGUGAACCUUUACUAUAGCUUGACACUGAACAUUGAGCCUUGAUGUGUAGGAUAGGUGGGAGGCUUUGAAGCGUGGACGCCAGUCUGCGUGGAGCCAACCUUGAAAUACCACCCUUUAAUGUUUGAUGUUCUAACGUUGGCCCCGCGGGGUUGCGGACAGUGUCUGGUGGGUAGUUUGACUGGGGCGGUCUCCUCCCAAAGCGUAACGGAGGAGCACGAAGGUUAGCUAAUCCUGGUCGGACAUCAGGAGGUUAGUGCAAUGGCAUAAGCUAGCUUGACUGCGAGCGUGACGGCGCGAGCAGGUGCGAAAGCAGGUCAUAGUGAUCCGGUGGUUCUGAAUGGAAGGGCCAUCGCUCAACGGAUAAAAGGUACUCCGGGGAUAACAGGCUGAUACCGCCCAAGAGUUCAUAUCGACGGCGGUGUUUGGCACCUCGAUGUCGGCUCAUCACAUCCUGGGGCUGAAGUAGGUCCCAAGGGUAUGGCUGUUCGCCAUUUAAAGUGGUACGCGAGCUGGGUUUAGAACGUCGUGAGACAGUUCGGUCCCUAUCUGCCGUGGGCGCUGGAGAAUUGAGGGGGGCUGCUCCUAGUACGAGAGGACCGGAGUGGACGCAUCACUGGUGUUCGGGUUGUCAUGCCAAUGGCACUGCCCGGUAGCUAAAUGCGGAAGAGAUAAGUGCUGAAAGCAUCUAAGCACGAAACUUGCCCCGAGAUGAGUUCUCCCUGAGACUCCUGGCGGCACUAGCGCGGUGGUCCCACCUGACCCCAUGCCGAACUCAGAAGUGAAACGCCGUAGCGCCGAUGGUAGUGUGGGGUCUCCCCAUGUGAGAGUAGGGAA